This 463-nucleotide ribosomal RNA is filed under the name uncultured bacterium. RNAcentral's name for it is "partial 16S ribosomal RNA". It matches the Rfam family "Bacterial small subunit ribosomal RNA", at positions 28 to 507 of the family's 1533-position model. The record is from RNAcentral.
GAUGGACGCUGACAGAAUGCUUAACACAUGCAAGUCUUUGGCGAAGCUGUGCUUGCACAGCCUAGCCAAGGCGGACGGGUGAGUAACGCGUAAGGAACUUGCCCUGCAGUCAGGGAUAACAGACGGAAACGACUGAUAAGACCUGGUAAAGUCAGGCGGACUCAUGUCCAGCCUGAUGAAAAGAGAUGCUGCAGGAGAGCCUUGCGUCCUAUUAGCUUGUUGGUGGGGUAACGGCCCACCAAGGCGAUGAUAGGUAGCCGGCCUGAGAGGGUGGACGGCCACAAGGGGACUGAGAUACGGCCCUUACUCCUACGGGAGGCAGCAGUGGGGAAUAUUGGACAGUGGGGGCAACCCUGAUCCAGCAAUUCUGUGUGCACGAUGAAGGUUUUCGGAUUGUAAAGUGCUUUCAGCAGGGAAGAAAAAAAUGACGGUACCUGCAGAAGAAGCGACGGCUAAAUACGUG